GGGCCGGUAGCUCAGUUGGUAGAGCAUCCGUCUAGUAUAGGACGGUCCUAGGUUCAACUCCUAGCCAGUCCA
This is a non-coding RNA of Trichophaea hybrida, 72 nucleotides long. Lineage: Eukaryota; Fungi; Ascomycota; Pezizomycetes; Pezizales; Pyronemataceae. The record is from the annotation of a GenBank genome assembly.